GGCUAACGCUGGCGGCGUGUCUUAGCCAUGCAAGUCGAGCGGACUUAUGGGGUAACUUAUAAGUCAGCGGCGGACGGCGGAGUAACACGUAGCUAACCUACCCUCUGGACGGGGAUAACCUACCGAAAGGUGGGCUAAUACCCGAUGUAGUCAUCCUGUAUAGGGGUGAUGAAAGGUGGGCUUCUGUUUACAAGCUCAUGCUGGAGGAGGGGGCUGCGGCCUAUCAGGUAGUUGGUAGGGUAAUAGCCUACCAAGCCGAUGACGGGUAGCCGGCCUGAGAGGGUGACCGGCCCGAGGGGCACUGAGAUACGGGUCCCACUCCUACGGGAGGCAGCAGGCUAGAAAUUUGGGCAAUUGGGGGAAACCCUGACCCAGUGACGCCGCGUGCAGGAAGGAGCCCUUCGGGGUGUAAACUGCUGUCGUGUAGGGGAAGGGUACUAAGGUGAACAAUCUUAGUACUUGACGGUACUACAGGAGGAAGCCCAGGCUAACCUCGUG
This 498-nucleotide ribosomal RNA is filed under the name uncultured bacterium. Its description in RNAcentral is "bacterial SSU rRNA". It matches the Rfam family "Bacterial small subunit ribosomal RNA", at positions 28 to 507 of the family's 1533-position model. The record is from RNAcentral.